Molecule: ribosomal RNA, 481 nt
Filed under: uncultured bacterium
Lineage: Bacteria
Description: partial 16S ribosomal RNA
Rfam family: Bacterial small subunit ribosomal RNA
Source: RNAcentral
GAUGAACGCUGGCGGCGUGCUUAACACAUGCAAGUCGAACGAAGCAUUUGCGACAGAUUUUUUCGGAAUGAAGUUGCUUAUGACUGAGUGGCGGACGGGUGAGUAACGCGUGGGUAACCUGCCUUGUACUGGGGGAUAGCAGCUGGAAACGGCUGGUAAUACCGCAUAAGCGCACAAUGUUGCAUGACAUUGUGUGAAAAACUCCGGUGGUAUAAGAUGGACCCGCGUCUGAUUAGCUAGUUGGUGAGAUAACAGCCCACCAAGGCGACGAUCAGUAGCCGAACUGAGAGGGUGACCGGCCACAUUGGGACUGAGACACGGCCCAGACUCCUACGGGAGGCAGCAGUGGGGAAUAUUGCACAAUGGAGGAAACUCUGAUGCAGCGACGCCGCGUGAGUGAAGAAGUAAUUCGUUAUGUAAAGCUCUAUCAGCAGGGAAGAUAGUGACGGUACCUGAAGAAGAAGCUCCGGCUAAAUACGUG